Molecule: ribosomal RNA, 574 nt
Filed under: uncultured haloarchaeon
Lineage: Archaea; Methanobacteriati; Methanobacteriota; Halobacteria; Halobacteriales; Halobacteriaceae
Description: bacterial SSU rRNA
Rfam family: Archaeal small subunit ribosomal RNA
Source: RNAcentral
GCGAAACCUUUACACUGCACGCCAGUGCGAUAAGGGGAUCCCAAGUGCGCAGGCAUAGAGCCUGCGCUUUUGUACACCGUAGGGAGGUGUACGAAUAAGGGCUGGGCAAGACCGGUGCCAGCCGCCGCGGUAAUACCGGCAGCCCGAGUGAUGGCCGAUCUUAUUGGGCCUAAAGCAUCCGUAGCUGGCCGCGCAAGUCCAUCGGAAAAUCCACCCGCUCAACGGGUGGGCGUCCGGCGGAAACUGCGUGGCUUGGGACCGGAAGGCGCGACGGGUACGUCCGGGGUAGGAGUGAAAUCCCGUAAUCCUGGACGGACCGCCGAUGGCGAAAGCACGUCGCGAGGACGGAUCCGACAGUGAGGGACGAAAGCCAGGGUCUCGAACCGGAUUAGAUACCCGGGUAGUCCUGGCCGUAAACAAUGUCUGUUAGGUGUGGCUCCCACUACGAGUGGGUGCUGUGCCGUAGGGAAGCCGCUAAACAGACCGCCUGGGAAGUACGUCCGCAAGGAUGAAACUUAAAGGAAUUGGCGGGGGAGCACUACAACCGGAGGAGCCUGCGGUUUAAUUGGAAUCA